CGAGUUGGCCGGGCGACCGCGGAGAAAUUCGAGGAAAGUCCGGACUUCACAGAGCAGGGUGAUUGCUAACGGCAAUCCGAGGAAACUCGCGGGAAAGUGCCACAGAAAACAGACCGCCGGAGACGGUAAGGGUGAAACGGUGCGGUAAGAGCGCACCAGCACCCCGGGUGACCGGGGUGGCUAGGCAAACCCCACCCGAAGCAAGGCCAAGAAGGCCGCGACCUGGUCGCGGCUGCGCAAGCGCUCGAGGGCUGCUCGCCCGAGCUUGCGGGUAGGCCGCUUGAGGCACCCGGCGACGGUGUGUCCAGAUGGAUGGUCGCCACCUCACCAUGUGAGGGACAGAAUCCGGCUUAGAGGCCAGCUCGUCCG
This 369-nucleotide RNase P RNA is filed under the name Mycolicibacterium cosmeticum. RNAcentral describes it as "RNase P RNA component class A". It matches the Rfam family "Bacterial RNase P class A". Rfam says of the family: Ribonuclease P (RNase P) is a ubiquitous endoribonuclease, found in archaea, bacteria and eukarya as well as chloroplasts and mitochondria. Lineage: Bacteria; Bacillati; Actinomycetota; Actinomycetes; Mycobacteriales; Mycobacteriaceae. The record is from RNAcentral.